CAGUAGCCGCGGUAAUACGGAGGGGGCUAGCGUUGUUCGGAAUUACUGGGCGUAAAGCGCACGUAGGCGGCUUGGUAAGUUAGAGGUGAAAGCCUGGAGCUCAACUCCAGAAUUGCCUUUAAGACUGCCGAGCUAGCAGGUGAGAGAGGUAAGUGGAAUUCCGAGUGUAGAGGUGAAAUUCGUAGAUAUUCGGAAGAACACCAGUGGCGAAGGCGGCUUACUGGCUCAUACUGGACGCUGAGGUGCGAAAGCGUGGGGAGCAAACAGGAUUAGAUACCCCCGUAGUCCCUGUCUCUUAUAC
This 301-nucleotide ribosomal RNA is filed under the name uncultured bacterium. RNAcentral's name for it is "partial 16S ribosomal RNA". It matches the Rfam family "Bacterial small subunit ribosomal RNA", at positions 509 to 807 of the family's 1533-position model. The record is from RNAcentral.